Molecule: long non-coding RNA, 2031 nt
Filed under: Nicotiana benthamiana
Lineage: Eukaryota; Viridiplantae; Streptophyta; Magnoliopsida; Solanales; Solanaceae
Description: long non-coding RNA (NBEN_LNC037884)
Source: RNAcentral
CUACCAACCCAAAGAAAUUCAACAAGGUUGGCUACCAAACCAAACUAAUUCAACAAAAUUGGAUACGUAACUAAACCAAGUCAAUAAGGUUGGUUACCAAAUCAAAAAAACUUUUAUUAAGCACAUGCCUAAUACUUCUUUAAUGAGAUGAACAUCAUGCGGAAUUAAUUAAUACAGUGAAAACCCCUUAAACUUGUUAGUGUAUUUGUUUUUAGAUACUCGAUCCCAGGCAUCUAAACACAUCAUAAUAUGUUCAUAUUAGACACUUCUGUCUCAAACUUUGAAAAAGCUUAUGUCUGCUCGUGUUCGCCACGUGGAUAAAUUAACUACUUAAAAUAUAUAUUCCACCUCCUGUAAUUAUACACAUCGGCUAUAAGCAGGUACUAGAACAAACAAACACAAGACAUGUCAUCAGUUAAAAAAGAACCCAAUCAAUUAAAAACAAACUCCUAUUCUGUUAAAUACAUUUGAAGGCUCUCCUUGUUAAAUUGGAAACCAUUUUUCCAAUAUCUUCGCUGGCAAAUUGGAACUCUUUUUUAUGUGUUCAGGUGCUCAACUGGAACAUCUUUAGUUCGAGCACUGUGUAAAUGGAAAUUGUAUGCCUCCAAUUGCAAUGAUUGGAAUCGCACACCAAAUCUUUUGUUAGCAAAUAUUUAUAUGGAAUUAAAUAUUUAUAAUCCUAAUCAUGCAUGGUUAAGACCUGAUUAAUUAAUUAAAUGUAAGCUUGAUAAUAGUACCGGGACAUCAUUAUCCAUCCAAUUUAUAAGAACUUGGAGAAAAUAUUUAUGGAGACAAUAAUAUAGGAAACAAAAAUAAUCGGAUUACAAAAAUUAUACGGUAUUCUGAAUUUACCUAGAGAAAAUUUAAAACGGGCUUCUUUUACUUGUAAACAAUUCGCGACGAGGGUGAUCAAACUAGUUUACUUUAGCAGUGUUUAACAGCAAGUUUACUCGCGUUAAAAAUAUAAUCAAAAAAUAUCAACAGUCCCUGAUAUGAAUUAGCUCGGAGUUCAGUCAACCAUCUAAAUUUGUGAAACAAAAUAAAAACUUUAGAGAGUAAUUAUAAGAUCCUGCACUACAGACAAAAACCAGUAAGAAUAUGACAAGAAAGACAUCUGUUGCAAUCAAAACAACAAAUAAUGUUUUUGUACAGUUGUUUAGUGAAACCAACAAGAUAUGCUGCAAGAAUAAUAUGGAGAAUAAUUUGCUGUAUAGCUAGUUAUCCAAUAAAAAUUGUGAACGAUGAAUUAGUUAGAAUUUUUUGAUAAGCAUGAAUGAUGACAAAGAAUUACUGCCAGAAAACAAAUAUUAAGCUUUAAACCUACAACAAUACAUAGCAGGAAAUCAUGUCAAAGUUAUAUUAAGUGAUACUCCAUAUAUAUAUGUGACUACAAGGAAAUUCUUCUGGCAAUAGCUAGCUAGUUUCUUUUACGAAGUAAUUAGUUCCAAUGAGAAAUUGUUACCUAGCUAAAAGCUACUCCUAUUUUUACUGUAAAAUUCAUCUAGUACUUCAUUCAACAAAGUUAUAUAUAAAUUGAUUGCUGCGUCUCUCUCCUCCCGUCGGCCAUAAUAUUAAACUUUAAACCUACAACAAUACAUAGCAGGAAAUCAUGUCAAAGUUAUAUUAAAUGAUACUCCAUAUAUAUAUGUGACUACAAGGAAAUUCUUCUGGCAAUAGCUAGCUAGUUUCUUUUACGAAGUAAUUAGUUCCAAUGAGAAAUUGUUACCUAGCUAAAAGCUACUCCUAUUUUUACUGUAAAAUUCAUCUAGUACUUCAUUCAACAAAGUUAUAUAUAAAUUGAUUGCUGCGUGUCUCAACCUAGUAAAAAUAUAGCGAACCUUCUCUUCGGGAUGAUCAGGAUUAGCUUCAAAUAUUUCCCAUGGUGGUUGGUCUCCAUAGAUAUCGGCAAAUUGGAAAUUAUGGCAUUCACUCUGCAAAAGUGUUGGGUAUUAUGAAUGAAUGGUGGAGACAAGAAAAUUAAAUGAGAGAAAGGGUAGGAAAACUUUAUGAAAUUGUGAAAUUAUUUUUUUU